UCUUAAAUAUAUUUUGUUUCUUCUAGAGACUACUUUAUCAAAAAGAGACUUGCAUAACAUAAGCCUUCUAACAGGAAGUACAUUUGUUUGCUCAUUCAUUCAACCAAUAUGUAUCAAAACCGUAACAUGUGCACAGGCAAAAGGAUUUCUGCCCUGCGUGGAGUCUAGUAGGGGAAAAGAGUUCAGUUAAAAGGAUUAUGAUGUCAACUUUUAUGCUGUUAAGUUUCAUACUCCUGAAGUUGGGUAGUAAACUGCACCUUGAAGCUAGGCGGACAGUGCGUGGCCUACAGGCUUUUUGCUCUUCAUCACUGCUCUAUACGAUACGACUGUCUGGACUCUUCAGUCUGAGGCCAACAUUGCAGAUUUGCUGUUGACAUAAACCAACAUGUUUGCAAAAGGAAAAACCUCUGACUGUCAGACUGUGGGUGUGGCCAUAUUACAGUCAAGGCUAUCAGUCACAAGAAGGAUAAUAUAAAGGAAUGGUUUAGCACAGACAUAUCACUUACUGCUGGAACUAGAACUUGUAAGUUUCCCCAGAUGGUAGGUCAGCAAUAUUCUCUUCACAGUGAUAAUGAAAUGUCCUUUUGCUACUAGAGGUUAUGCACUUCCUCUGAAACUGUUAAGUGAUUCUUACUCCUCUUUUUAAGAAAUACUCUUUAAAAAUCAUAACCAUUGCAAAAAUUCAGAUGAAAGUCAAAAGUAAAAAUCUCCUAUAAUCUUAUCCCCUAGGCAUAUAUUAAUAUUUCUAUGUGAAUCUAACUAUACUUACUUCUCAGCAUACACAUUUAGCAAACAUGGAAUCAUACUAUUCAGUUUAUAACUGCUUUUUGAUCUUUGCAAUAGAUGUGGACAUUCUUCAAUAAAAUACAAUGCAGAUUUCAAUUUAUUAAUGUAGAUGUACACUCUAUUUUACUGAGUGCAUAGUAUUCCACUGCAUGUUGGUGAAUUACCCUACUGGUUGACAUUUAGGUUGUUUUGCAAUAUAUAUACACUGCAAAUAUGGAUAUGUAUAAGAAAUAAAACAUCUUGUAUAAAGAUAUAUCACCACCUUUUAACAGUCACAAUUUAUUUAAGAUAAUUCAUUAGUGACAAGAAUGACAAUGCUUCACCUCAGUCAUCAAUGAACUUUUACAAACUCAUGAAAUAAAAUUAUUUAAAAGUUAUGUCACCUGUAAAAAGAUGAGGAAAUUUAAUAGGCAGUAUCACAGCCUCUUUCAGUGCUUCUUUGGCUCCUUCAAGUCCAGCAACGUCACUCCAUUUCACAUUUGGUCGUUCUAUAACAAUGGCACCUGCAAAAAAUUACGUUAUCUUUAAAUUAAGAAAGACUAUUUCACCAAAGUUAGAAGACAACAUGAAAUAAUGAUGUUAAAGAAACGCAUUAUAAAAUUGGGAAAGUUUUAUGUACUAACAACCUUUUUGAAAUAGCGUGAGCAGGAAGCAGGUGUUAGGGAGUAGUCAAUAGGACUAGGAACCAGGUGGAUGACUAGACAACCUGGGGCAUGUUACUUUACCCUUCUGUUUCAGCUUCCUCACUUGUGAAAUGAAAAUAAUACCAUCUGCCCAAACUACUUAGAUAGGUUGGUGCGAAAAUCAAAUGACAUAAUGAAUAUUAGAGUGUUUGGAAAAGCACCAAACGUUCCAUAAGGUGGUUAUAUUUGAAUACAUUGAUUUUGGAGUAUCAAAAGUACUUGUUCUACCAUUUCUCCUGUUAACCAAAAGAAAAGGUGAUCUAAUCCUCUCCUCAACCACUGAAAAAAAAAAUAUGCUUAACAAAUUUAACUCAAGAUAGGCAGACAGACAGAAGGGAGAAGGAAAAGGAGAGAGGAAAGGAAGGAAUGGAAGCAGAUGAUGGGAAACCGAGAAAAGAUACCCCUGCAGAUUUGCAAUACUUUCCUAAGAUUUGCCCAAGUUUCUAUUUGGCUGCUAAAUAGAUCUAUUUACAACUUUUGUUAAUUAACAAAGUUAACUUACAGGGAAGAUUUAGCUUCUGAAUGCAGUAUAUUCAAAAGCCAAAGCAAUUAUUGCAGUAAGAGUCCAAGAAGGAUGUCUUUUAAUAUAGCCUACUGACAAAUUUUCUAGUUCUCUUUUAUCAAAAGCUUUUCUAAUUUUCUAGAAUAUGGAAACUGUUCCACUAUAAACUAUGAAGCAGCCUGUUCUAAGAUGACAUGUAGUUAGUUGUUUUAAGUGUAACAGAACACCACCACUUAUACAAUCUAUUACUUUAUGAAAUCACUGCUACUGAUUGUUUCUUCUUGUUAGGAAAGAUAAUCUGUUACUCUAAGACUAGUUACUAGCAACUUACUUCCCUAAAUUAUGAAAAUCUUUAGCUACUAGAUUAAAAUUACAUGAAACCAUAAGCAUUUUGUAUUCCAAAAGUUCAGACUACUAUAAAGUAAGAAAAAAGUAAAUUCAUUUCGUCUUUUUUAUGUUUCAUUAAGAUUAGUAAUCCUAGGAUUUCAUGUCAGUUAAACAAAAAUAAACUUUAUUUUAUAUAUGUA
This is a long non-coding RNA of Homo sapiens (human), 2498 nucleotides long. RefSeq lists it as uncharacterized. The transcript has 2 exons. NCBI's taxonomy places the organism in Eukaryota, Metazoa, Chordata, Mammalia, Primates, Hominidae. The record is from RefSeq and is a predicted model, not a curated record.